Papaver somniferum (opium poppy) is the source of this 1619-nucleotide long non-coding RNA. RefSeq lists it as uncharacterized. Lineage: Eukaryota; Viridiplantae; Streptophyta; Magnoliopsida; Ranunculales; Papaveraceae. The transcript has 7 exons. The record is from RefSeq and is a predicted model, not a curated record.
UCAUUUCUCUCUCUAUCACUACUGCACUCGCUAUAUUCUGCAUCUCCAUCUCCUUCUCCAUUUUCAUCCGUAAAGCUCUUCUCUCGAGGAAACCCCUCUUCUACAAUUGUGAAACAGAAAAGCAUUAAUCGAUUUCCCUUUUGUUUCUCCUAAAUCCAAACCCCUUUUGCCAUCUCUUCCACAAACCCCAAAUUCUCUAAUAAAUCCACAUAUGACCGUUUUUUCGCACCUUUAAAACAAAAACCCCAUCUUCUAAAUUAUAUUCAUCCUCAUUAAACAAAACCCUUUACUUCAUCUUCUUAUUGCCUCUUAAAAAAAACCCCAAAAUUCCCAAUUUCAAAACCCUAAUAAUCCUUCACUUCACCAGAUUUAUUCGCGGCCGUCAUUAAACAAGCCAAUUCUCUGUUUUGUGAGUUUGGAAAUUUAGAAGAAAAAAGAAAUCAGGUUUCUUAAAGUUGUCCCAUGGGUUAGAUAUUAUGGAACUUAGAAAGAUUUGAACAUCAAUAUGACCAGGAAAAGAUCCAUCUUUGGGGGCUUCUCUUGAGGAUAAGAAGAGUGGUUUAUGGGAGCCAUCUAUAUGACAUUGAUUAGACUGCAAAGUGCUGAGAACUUGGGGUUGCAACACAUCCAAGCUUGUAUUAAAGUGGUGCAUGCAUUUAUAUUAGCAUCUCUCCAGCUUGGAUUUUAUCAUGUAUUGGGUACAUCAAAUGUAGACGAAGGAUUGUGCGGUCACUUAAAAAAGGAAACUCACUUGUCCAACCAUUUCGAAAAUGAUAUACUAAGAAGUUCUGAAUUUCCCACAUUUGAAUGUAAGGUGUGAUUGCAGCUCUGGAUAUAAAUCCCAAUGGAAGUAUCAAUAAGCAGGAUCUUCGAGCAUUUCUGAAAUAGGUUGUUGUCCAUCUUGAUUUUCCAUCCUGGAAGAAAGAAGCUUCCCCUCCACCUGAUGAAUUGGAGCCUAUACGAUCCAACUACAUUCAGCGAGAGAGAUAUAUCCAUGGAUAAGGAGAUACAUCAAAAUGUUCAUGCAGUUGAGCUUAUCAAAAAUAACCACUUCAUGGCAAAAAGGACAAUGUUUAUUGACUAGGUAUUAUUGUUAUUGCCUUAUUGGAAGUUAUCGUCGGUAAGCCUAACUUUUUUUCUUUCUCACUUUAAACAUUUUGAAUUUGAACAUCAUUAACAUUAUAGUGCCAGCGAGAGCAGGCUCAACUUCAUGCCAACAACAACAACCAAUGUUCAGUACUCAUAACAAUCUAUGUUUAAUUUCUUUGUAUGCAUUUUUCCCUUUGAAUUUCGCUCAUGAUGAUCCCGUAUUGCUUUAUAGUGUAAAUAAAAUAAAAAAUGUUAGUCACUAAGAUGCUUGCUUCUGCUAUUUUCAGGAAACUCUUAUUGUUCGCAAAGAUUUGUUGACAUCUGGUAGGUUAAAUGAUCUUAUGUUGGGCUACGAUGGGUCAUGUUUAUCAAAGCUCACAAUGUUGGAAUUGUAUUGAACAUCAUAUUACCAUAUGGAUUGUGAUACUUUUAGGUCAAGUUACCAAAAGAAAAUUCUGAGUUGGAUCAUGAGUAAUUCUAGUUUUUCUAAGUUGUACAACAAAUUUUGAUUUUAAUAUAAUGUUGAUUCA